Molecule: non-coding RNA, 106 nt
Organism: Capsicum annuum
Lineage: Eukaryota; Viridiplantae; Streptophyta; Magnoliopsida; Solanales; Solanaceae
Source: Rfam
ACCUCAUGGUUGGGACAUUGUAUAAGCUUCCCAUUAAAACCCUUCCAUACCUCAUACAGAGGCUCUCCAUUUAAUUGAUGAAAUUUUGUGAUUUUGUUAUGCAAUU